Molecule: non-coding RNA, 23 nt
Filed under: Cricetulus griseus (Chinese hamster)
Lineage: Eukaryota; Metazoa; Chordata; Mammalia; Rodentia; Cricetidae
Source: RNAcentral
CCCGAGGAAACAGCCACGCGCGG